CAGCCGCCGCGGUAAUACGGAGGGUGCAAGCGUUAAUCGGAAUUACUGGGCGUAAAGCGCACGCAGGCGGUCUGACAAGUCAGAUGUGAAAUCCCCGGGCUUAACCUGGGAACUGCAUUUGAAACUGUCAGGCUGGAGUCUUGUAGAGGGGGGUGGAAUUCCAGGUGUAGCGGUGAAAUGCGUAGAGAUCUGGAGGAAUACCGGUGGCGAAGGCGGCCCCCUGGACAAAGACUGACGCUCAGGUGCGAAAGCGUGGGGAGCAAACAGGAUUAUAUACCCGCGUAGUCCCUGUCUCUUAUAC
RNAcentral lists this ribosomal RNA (301 nucleotides) under uncultured bacterium. RNAcentral describes it as "partial 16S ribosomal RNA". It matches the Rfam family "Bacterial small subunit ribosomal RNA", at positions 509 to 807 of the family's 1533-position model. The record is from RNAcentral.